This 738-nucleotide ribosomal RNA is filed under the name Heterochaeta strachani (stick mantis). RNAcentral describes it as "eukaryotic LSU rRNA". It matches the Rfam family "Eukaryotic large subunit ribosomal RNA", at positions 1232 to 1885 of the family's 3401-position model. Lineage: Eukaryota; Metazoa; Arthropoda; Insecta; Mantodea; Mantidae. The record is from RNAcentral.
UUAAGACAGCAGGACGGUGGCCAUGGAAGUCGGAAGCCGCUAAGGAGUGUGUAACAACUCACCUGCCGAAGCAACUAGCCCUGAAAAUGGAUGGCGCUAAAGCUCCGUGCCUAUACCCGGCCGCCGGUAGGCAUAGGCGUGAGCCGCUCUUCUGGGGCGGCGAGCGCGCGAAGCCCCGGCGAGUAGGAGGGCGCGGCGGUGUGCGCGGAAGGGUCUGGGCGUGAGCCUGCCUGGAGCCGCCGCCGGUGCAGAUCUUGGUGGUAGUAGCAAAUACUCAAGCGAGGGCCUUGAGGGCUGAUGUGGAGAAGGGUUUCGUGUGAACAGCCGUUGCACACGAGUCAGUCGAUCCUAAGCCCUAGGAGAAAUCCGAUGUCGAUGCGGGGGGACGUUUCUCACGUGCUCCCCCUCGAUGGGCGAAAGGGAAUCCGGUUCCUAUUCCGGAACCCGGCAGCGGAACCGAAUCUACGGGCCCUCGUCAGAGAAGCUCGUCGGGGUAACCCAAAGGGACCCGGAGACGCCGUCGGGAGACCCGGGCAGAGUUUUCUGUUCUGCAUAAGCGUUCGAGUUCCCUGGAAUCCUCUAGCAGGGAGAUAGGGUUUGGAACGCGAAGAGCACCGCAGUUGCGGCGGUGUCCGGGUCGUCCCCUCGGACCUUGAAAAUCCGGGAGAGGGUCACGCGGAGGUGUCGCGCCGGCUCGUACCCAUAUCCGCAGCAGGUCUCCAAGGUGAAGAGCCUCUA